GAUAAACGCUGGCGGCGUGCAUGAGACAUGCAAGUCGAACGAAGGAUCGGGCUUGCUCGAUCCUUAGUGGCGGACGGCUGAGUAACGCGUAGGUGACCUACCCCGAAGUGGGGAAUAACUGCCCGAAAGGGUGGCUAAUACCGCAUGUGGUCGCACGUUCAUUCGUGCGAGUAAAGCUGCAAGGCGCUUCGGGAGGGGCCUGCGUCCGAUUAGCCCGUUGGUGGGGUAAUGGCUUACCAAGGCGACGAUCGGUAGGUGGUCUGAGAGGACGAUCACCCAGACUGGGACUGAGACACGGCCCAGACUCCUACGGGAGGCAGCAGUCGGGAAUUUUGCUCAAUGGGGGAAACCCUGAAGCAGCAACGCCGCGUGAGGGAUGAAGGCCCUCGGGUUGUAAACCUCUUUUGUCAGGGACGAUGAUGACGGUACCUGGCGAAUAAGCCACGGCUAACUACGUG
RNAcentral lists this ribosomal RNA (458 nucleotides) under uncultured bacterium. RNAcentral describes it as "partial 16S ribosomal RNA". It matches the Rfam family "Bacterial small subunit ribosomal RNA", at positions 28 to 507 of the family's 1533-position model. The record is from RNAcentral.